CAGCUAUAGAUAACUGGGAAAAGUGAACACUUCAUGGUUCUACUGACAUAUAGGCAGAAAGGAGUUAUUUUAGGACUUAAUAAGUUCUAUAAUAAUACUUAUAUUUUACAUUUACCUCUACUUAAGCCUUCAAAGGGUUUUAGCCUCCAGUUUUAGCCUCUGACCUUCUUUUAAGAUGCUAACAAAUGCUAAAACUAGCCUCUGAUUUGGGCUGCUAAAAUAAAGACUUUUGGCUAGCUGACCAGCAUAGACCAAUUUGCUGGUUAACAGAAAACAGUGAGGAAUAGCCAACAAAAAGAAAAACUUCACUGAGUGAAAAAGGGUGAAUUUACAAGCUGGUGAUGAUCCAGAGCAGAUGAAGAAAAACCCUGAUCACCUUCUCUCUACAAAAAUCUCUCUUGCUUCUGAGAGAUUUCAGCUCCACACCACUAAGCCAUAUGUCUGUUCUGUUAGGUGUUGAGCUGCAAAUC
Oreochromis niloticus (Nile tilapia) is the source of this 470-nucleotide long non-coding RNA. RefSeq lists it as uncharacterized. The record is from RefSeq and is a predicted model, not a curated record. The transcript is spliced from 3 exons. NCBI's taxonomy places the organism in Eukaryota, Metazoa, Chordata, Actinopteri, Cichliformes, Cichlidae.